GACGAACGCUGGCGGCGUGCCUAAUACAUGCAAGUAGAACGCACAGUUUAUACCGUAUCUUGCUACACCAUAGACUGUGAGUUGCGAACGGGUGAGUAACGCGUAGGUAACCUGCCUGGUAGCGGGGGAUAACUAUUGGAAACGAUAGCUAAUACCGCAUAAUAUUGAUUAUUGCAUGAUAAUUGAUUGAAAGAUGCUAUUGCAUCACUACCAGAUGGACCUGCGUUGUAUUAGCUAGUAGGUGAGGUAACGGCUCACCUAGGCGACGAUACAUAGCCGACCUGAGAGGGUGAUCGGCCACACUGGGACUGAGACACGGCCCAGACUCCUACGGGAGGCAGCAGUAGGGAAUCUUCGGCAAUGGACGAAAGUCUGACCGAGCAACGCCGCGUGAGUGAAGAAGGUUUUCGGAUCGUAAAGCUCUGUUGUAAGAGAAGAACGGGUGUGAGAGUGGAAAGUUCACACUGUGACGGUAUCUUACCAGAAAGGGACGGCUAACUACGUG
This 505-nucleotide ribosomal RNA is filed under the name uncultured bacterium. RNAcentral's name for it is "partial 16S ribosomal RNA". It matches the Rfam family "Bacterial small subunit ribosomal RNA", at positions 28 to 507 of the family's 1533-position model. The record is from RNAcentral.